GAAGCGGCAACAGCUCAAAUUUGAAAUCUGGCGCAAGCCCGAGUUGUAAUUUGUAGAGGAUGCUUCUGGGUAGCGGCCGGUCUAAGUUCCUUGGAACAGGACGUCAUAGAGGGUGAGAAUCCCGUAUGUGACUGGCUUGCACCCUCCACGUAGCUCCUUCGACGAGUCGAGUUGUUUGGGAAUGCAGCUCUAAAUGGGAGGUAAAUUUCUUCUAAAGCUAAAUACCGGCCAGAGACCGAUAGCGCACAAGUAGAGUGAUCGAAAGAUGAAAAGCACUUUGGAAAGAGAGUUAAAAAGCACGUGAAAUUGUUGAAAGGGAAGCGCCCGCAACCAGACUUUGCGGCAGUGUUCGGCCGGUCUUCUGACCGGUUUACUCGCUGUCGUGAGGCCAUCAUCGUCUGGGACCGCUGGAUAAGACCUUAGGAAUGUAGCUCCCCUCGGGGAGUGUUAUAGCCUCUGGUGAUGCAGCGCGUCUCGGGCGAGGUCCGCGCUUCGGCAAGGAUGAUGGCGUAAUGGUUGUCGGCGGCCCGUCUUGAAACACGGACCAAGGAGUCUAACAUCUAUGCGAGUGUUCGGGUGUCAAACCCCUACGCGUAAUGAAAGUGAACGGAGGUGGGAACUUUUUGUGCACCAUCGACCGAUCCUGAUGUCCUCGGAUGGAUUUGAGUAAGAGCAUAGCUGUUGGGACCCGAAAGAUGGUGAACUAUGCCUGAAUAGGGUGAAGCCAGAGGAAACUCUGGUGGA
RNAcentral lists this ribosomal RNA (744 nucleotides) under Pseudocercospora eucalyptorum. RNAcentral describes it as "eukaryotic LSU rRNA". It matches the Rfam family "Eukaryotic large subunit ribosomal RNA", at positions 95 to 871 of the family's 3401-position model. The record is from RNAcentral. RNAcentral also lists the same sequence under 2 other names. Lineage: Eukaryota; Fungi; Ascomycota; Dothideomycetes; Mycosphaerellales; Mycosphaerellaceae.